Non-coding RNA from Cinara cedri, 774 nucleotides. Lineage: Eukaryota; Metazoa; Arthropoda; Insecta; Hemiptera; Aphididae. The record is from the annotation of a GenBank genome assembly.
CAAAAAUUAGAUACCUAUUUCAUAAUAACAAUAAUGAAAAUAAUAAACAUAUGCAUACAUUAUCAUAGAGAAUAAAAUAAUGAUAACUUCCCGAUAACCGUAGCUUGUGAUAGGGGAUAGUGAGUUCAAAACUAAUUCAUAUAAACAAAAGAAUUGCAAGUACAUCAAAAAGUAUAAGCAGAGACAAAAGAAAAAUCUAUCAUGCUGUAUUAACACUAUUGUAAUAUCUGAAGAGUGUAAUAAAAACUAGAUAAUUGUUUUUUGCUUAAUGAUUUAAGGUGACUUACAUUAAUAUUAAAUAUUUCAUGCAAAGCAGUUCCUACAAAAAUAACACUUCUUUGACUAAAAAUAGUUUUAAAAGUAAUUGAAUCAAGAUUAUCUAAUUGUUUAGAUUGUUUUAUGCUCGUGUUGGACAAGGACCUUAGGGUCACUAGGUCUCUAGGGAUACACCAAAAAUUUAUUUUAGCUGUCUAUCUAAGAAUGUUGUCAAUUCUAGUACUCUGAAACCUUGAGUCUUAAAUAACACCUGAAAAAACUAAGAGCAAUUCUUCGUGUACCAGAAAAUUAUAACUUUAUUUAAUAAAACUGCAUGAUCGACAGUCAAAAAACUUAUCGAAAAAUAUACCAAUCAUUUUUUAUUACACGCACAAAGUUUACGAACCAUAAUAAAUUUGAGCAUCAAUAUUGUUGAUUUAAUUAUCCAUAAUAACAAUAUUACAAAUUGCAAAUGGUAUUAAAUACUGUCGAUACUGAAAAAUUAAUAUUUAACAUGCA